Molecule: long non-coding RNA, 634 nt
Organism: Zonotrichia leucophrys gambelii
Lineage: Eukaryota; Metazoa; Chordata; Aves; Passeriformes; Passerellidae
Exons: 4
Source: RefSeq, a predicted model, not a curated record
CAGCUGAUAGAAAUUCCAAGAGGAGGAAAGGUCAAGUUGUAUUCUUGUGGAAUGUUUGGCCUAAAUACUCCUUGGCCAGCUUGGGCUCUUCCCUAAGCUGGUUGCGCGCGGGCGUAAGCGACCCUAGAUCCGGCUAGUUAGUGAGGGGCGAAGGCCAACGCCCCCGCGCAUCUGAAGGCAGCCCCCCUCGGCGUCUUGGCCUCAGGCUGGGCUGGGUGAUAGCUCAGAGCGGCGCGCUGCGAGACGAAUAAGGAGGCGACCACUUGCUGGAGGGUCCUUCUGCCUUUGAGGGAGUCAGAAGUGAACAUCCAGUUCACUAUCAUCAGCAAACUUCCUCAGAGUACCUUUGAAUAUCCAAGUCAUUUAUGGACAAGUUGACUUAACGAAGGAGAACCAAAUGGCAUGGUGCUGUAGAUCUCCUGCAUGAAAGUCCCUGCACAGCCAAAGGCUUUUGCCUUAAUCCUUCUGUGUCAUUGCCUGUCUAGAAAAUGGAGAUUUGUCACAGUGUCCAUGAAAAACAUCAUCCUGGAGUUGUAACACUGGUGACAAGAGAACUGCAGGACAAUGUAUGCCUGAAGACCCAAAUGGAAAGGGAAGUAAAACUCAGAGGACAAUCCAGAAAAAGUCACUGGGU